CGGAGAAGGCUAUGUUGGCCGGGCGACGGUUGUCCCGGUUUAAGCGUGUAGGCUGGUUUUCCAGGCAAAUCCGGAAAAUCAAGGCUGAGGCGUGAUGACGAGGCACUACGGUGCUGAAGCAACAAAUGCCCUGCUUCCAGGAAAAGCCUCUAAGCAUCAGGUAACAUCAAAUCGUACCCCAAACCGACACAGGUGGUCAGGUAGAGAAUACCAAGGCGCUUGAGAGAACUCGGGUGAAGGAACUAGGCAAAAUGGUGCCGUAACUUCGGGAGAAGG
Molecule: ribosomal RNA, 276 nt
Filed under: Escherichia coli
Lineage: Bacteria; Pseudomonadati; Pseudomonadota; Gammaproteobacteria; Enterobacterales; Enterobacteriaceae
Description: partial 23S ribosomal RNA
Rfam family: Bacterial large subunit ribosomal RNA
Source: RNAcentral